This 387-nucleotide unclassified non-coding RNA is filed under the name soil metagenome. RNAcentral describes it as "partial contains 5.8S ribosomal RNA, internal transcribed spacer 2, and large subunit ribosomal RNA". The stretch from base 1 to 120 matches the Rfam family "5.8S ribosomal RNA", at positions 35 to 154 of the family's 154-position model. The record is from RNAcentral.
GAUGAAGAACGUAGUGAAAUGCGAUAAGUAAUGUGAAUUGCAGAAUUCAGUGAAUCAUCGAAUCUUUGAACGCACCUUGCGCUCCUUGGUAUUCCGAGGAGCAUGCCUGUUUGAGUGUCAUGAAAUUCUCAACCUUUUCAGCUUUCUUUGUUGAUCAGGCUUGGAUGUGGGAGUAUGCGGGCUUCUCAGAAGUCGGCUCUCCUGAAAUGCAUUAGCGGGACCUUUGUUGCCUGGCUUUGGUGUGAUAAUUAUCUACGCCAUUGUAGUCAAGGAGCUUAAAAUGAGGUUUCAGCUUCUAACCGUCUCCCCUGAGACAACUUUUUGACAAUUUGACCUCAAAUCAGGUAGGACUACCCGCUGAACUUAAGCAUAUCAAUAAGCGGAGGA